UGGGGAAUAUUGGACAAUGGGCGCAAGCCUGAUCCAGCAAUGCCGCGUGAGUGAUGAAGGCCUUAGGGUUGUAAAGCUCUUUCGCACGCGACGAUGAUGACGGUAGCGUGAGAAGAAGCCCCGGCUAACUUCGUGCCAGCAGCCGCGGUAAUACGAAGGGGGCUAGCGUUGUUCGGAAUUACUGGGCGUAAAGGGCGCGUAGGCGGCCUGUUUAGUCAGAAGUGAAAGCCCCGGGCUCAACCUGGGAAUAGCUUUUGAUACUGGCAGGCUUGAGUUCCGGAGAGGAUGGUGGAAUUCCCAGUGUAGAGGUGAAAUUCGUAGAUAUUGGGAAGAACACCGGUGGCGAAGGCGGCCAUCUGGACGGACACUGACGCUGAGGCGCGAAAGCGUGGGGAGCAAACAGGAUUAGAUACCCUGUAGUCCACGCCGUAAACGAUGAAUGCUAGACGUCGGGGUGCAUGCACUUCGGUGUCGCCGCUAACGCAUUAAGCAUUCCGCCUGGGGGAGUACGGCCGCAAGGUUAAAAC
RNAcentral lists this ribosomal RNA (527 nucleotides) under uncultured bacterium. RNAcentral's name for it is "partial 16S ribosomal RNA". It matches the Rfam family "Bacterial small subunit ribosomal RNA", at positions 355 to 900 of the family's 1533-position model. The record is from RNAcentral.